Uranotaenia lowii is the source of this 536-nucleotide long non-coding RNA. RefSeq lists it as uncharacterized. The record is from RefSeq and is a predicted model, not a curated record. The transcript has 2 exons. NCBI's taxonomy places the organism in Eukaryota, Metazoa, Arthropoda, Insecta, Diptera, Culicidae.
UUUUAUUUUAUAAGGGCUUUAACCACAAUCUGUCUCAGGAAAUACUCUGUAUCUCUCUAUAUUAAUCGUUUCAUUCUUGUUCGUAAGGAACUGUCAAUAUACCCUUAUAGUUUCUCAUUAUAACAUUCUUUUUUUCCGAGCCAAAAGACAAGAGAAAAAAAAAAUAUAACUCUUUUUUACAUUUAAGAGAAGAUGUUUGCACUGAGCUUCGAGGUAGCGUGUAAUGGCGAAUCAACGAUCCUGCACCAAGCAAUAGGGGGGCAAUCUAUUGGUCAUCUCAUUUCAGCGCUCAAAACCUUGAAAGAUUCUUCAAAUGAAACGCUCACAAAUUUGGUGCAAAAUGAAACCACCAAAAAUACGAGGAAAGUUGAAACCAAAACUGAUUCGGAUGAUACCUCCGACGAGAUUGAAAUUCAGGAUGAACCGCUUAAGAAACUGAGAACAUAAAACAAAACUCGGUUUUAUAACAUAAGACUUUUAGAAGUGAUUGAUUCUCACGAAAACAUACUUCGAAUAUAACAUUGUGGUAUUGCACA